AGAACUUUCCAGAGAUGGAUUGGUGCCUUCGGGAACUCUGAGACAGGUGCUGCAUGGCUGUCGUCAGCUCGUGUUGUGAAAUGUUGGGUUAAGUCCCGCAACGAGCGCAACCCUUAUCCUUUGUUGCCAGCGGUUAGGCCGGGAACUCAAAGGAGACUGCCAGUGAUAAACUGGAGGAAGGUGGGGAUGACGUCAAGUCAUUAUGGCCCUUACGAGUAGGGCUACACACGUGCUACAAUGGCGCAUACAAAGAGAAGCGACCUCGCGAGAGCAAGCGGACCUCAUAAAGUGCGUCGUAGUCCGGAUUGGAGUCUGCAACUCGACUCCAUGAAGUCGGAAUCGCUAGUAAUCGUGGAUCAGAAUGCCACGGUGAAUACGUUCCCGGGCCUUGUACACACCGCCCGUCACACCAUGGGAGUGGGUUGCAAAAGAAGUAGGUAGCUUAACCUUCGGGAGGGCGCUUACCACUUUGUGAUUCAUGACUGGGGUGAAGUCGUAACAAGGUAAGCGUAGUGCU
RNAcentral lists this ribosomal RNA (517 nucleotides) under uncultured bacterium. Its description in RNAcentral is "bacterial SSU rRNA". It matches the Rfam family "Bacterial small subunit ribosomal RNA", at positions 992 to 1509 of the family's 1533-position model. The record is from RNAcentral.